This 244-nucleotide ribosomal RNA is filed under the name uncultured bacterium. RNAcentral describes it as "partial 16S ribosomal RNA". It matches the Rfam family "Bacterial small subunit ribosomal RNA", at positions 116 to 354 of the family's 1533-position model. The record is from RNAcentral.
CGUGGGUAACCUGCCCAAGAGACUGGGAUAACACCUGGAAACAGAUGCUAAUACCGGAUAACAACACUAGACGCAUGUCUAGAGUUUAAAAGAUGGUUCUGCUAUCACUCUUGGAUGGACCUGCGGUGCAUUAGCUAGUUGGUAAGGUAACGGCUUACCAAGGCAAUGAUGCAUAGCCGAGUUGAGAGACUGAUCGGCCACAUUGGGGCUGAGACACGGCCCAAACUCCUACGGGAGGCAGCAG